AUGAAGGUCUUCAUCCUGGCUCUCCUCGCCCUCACAGCAACCACCGCCAUUGCCCAGUUGGAAUCCACCUGUAGCCAGGGCUUUGGACAAUGCCAACAUCAACAACCGGGGCAACAACAGCUGCUGGAGCAGAUGAAGCCGUGUGUGGCAUUCCUGCAACAACAGUGUAGCCCAGUGAGAAUGCCAUUCCUCCAAAUACAGGUGCAGCAGCUUAGCAGCUGCCAGAUCAUGCAAUACCAAUGCUGCCAGCAGCUAGCACAGAUCCCGGAGCGAAUCCGGUGCCAUGCCAUCCACAGCGUGGUAGAGGCUAUCAUGCAACAACAACCCCAACAACAAUGGCAGGAGCCCCAACAGCAAGCACAACAUAAGAGCAUAAGGAUGUUGCUUGAGAACCUAUCAUUGAUGUGCAGCAUCUCCGUCCCGGUACAAUGCCAGCAACAACAACAAUUGGGCCAACAACAACAACAAUAAUUGCAGGAGCAGUUGACACCGUGUGCGACAUUCCUGCAGCAGCAGUGCAGCCCAAUGACAGUGCCAUUCCCCCAGACACUGGUGGAUCAGCCUACCAGCUGCCAGAAUGUGCAACACCAAUGUUGCCGGCAGUUAUCACAUAUCCCGGAGCAAUUCCGUUGCCAAGCCAUCCACAACGUGGCUGAGGCUAUCAGGCAACAACGACCCCAACAACAAUGGCAGGGUAUGUACCAGGCCCAGCAGCCAGCACAACUUGAGAGCAUCAGGAUGUCGCUUCAGGCCCUGCGGUCGAUGUGUAGCAUCUACAUCCCGGUACAAUGCCCCGCCCCCACCGCCUACAACAUUCCCAUGGUGGCUACUUACCCUGGUGGUGCGUACUAG
This 852-nucleotide ribosomal RNA is filed under the name Triticum aestivum (bread wheat). RNAcentral describes it as "partial small subunit ribosomal RNA". Lineage: Eukaryota; Viridiplantae; Streptophyta; Magnoliopsida; Poales; Poaceae. The record is from RNAcentral.